Molecule: long non-coding RNA, 1712 nt
Organism: Nyctereutes procyonoides (raccoon dog)
Lineage: Eukaryota; Metazoa; Chordata; Mammalia; Carnivora; Canidae
Exons: 3
Source: RefSeq, a predicted model, not a curated record
CGGAUCGAGUCAGUGGCUCCUUUGUGCCCCCGCGGGCCCCUCGCUUCGGCUAGAGCCCUCGGCCGGAGCCCUCGGAGUUAGGGCGACUGCGGGUCCCCGCGCCCGCCCCCGGGCCGCCGGGGGGCGAGGCCCGCUGCUGGUGUUUGGGAACACGGUAUCUCACGCGUUGGCUUCUCAACCUCUGGGACCUUUGAAGGAUUCUGAUGCAUGGACUCCCACUCCAGAACCAGAAUCUUUGAGGAUGGCUACUUGGGUGCUCCAAGUCCAGCUGAUGGGGGACAGAACAUGCCACUCCCAAAUCUGCCCCUGUGACAGAAGGAUUAUUUUGAACUAAAGGCACUUGAAAAAGAGCAGGCCAGAGAUCCUAAGAAGGGAGAAAGAAGGUUUGGCUUCCCCUCCACAGCUGAUUCCAAUGUCUCACUCUGGUCGAAAACUACUGCUCUAAUUGUUCCUAAGAGGAAUCCCCUGCCACGGGAGUGUAUGUAUGAAGGGCACCCCCUUUUGUCCUCUGUAAUCCUCAAAGGUGCUGAUUAUACCAAACAAUCACAAGAAGCGAACACCCAGAGUUCUUUAGAUCAGCUUUUUAAAGGGUUCAUCACACAGGUGGACUCCCAGAGUCUACCAUCAGUUCCCUUGCUAGUCUGUUGAUCCGAGCUGUCCAUUUCUUGGCCCACUCUAAGGUCAGAGUUCUCAGUACUCCAGGCCAGAAGCUGUGUGGACUGAAGGACAGGCAGCAACCUUGAGAAGAACAAUCCAAACAGGCUCAGGCUGGCAUCCCGAUUGAUUGAUUGAUUGAUAGCAAAAGGAAAUGCAGGACACCCAAUACUGAAAAAAAUAGUGGAACAUGGGAGCCAUCCACUUCUAUGUAAGACCAUGGCUAUAUCUGUCUCCCAACUGUUCACACCCAUGGCACGAAGAAAAGUUACACUAUUCUGUGGUAUCAUGGAAGGCUCCAGAGAGAAUCUAAUGAGCUAUGAAGCCACUCAAGCUCCCACCAUGUAUUCUUAGCCUGACAAUCUCUCAAUUCCUAUAGUCAUUUUUCUCUUAUGCUGCCUUGUAUUGCAGCGCCUCGCCUUUUUAGCAUAUUCCAAGUCUACACGAGCAGAGUUUUGUUUUUUGUUUUUUUCCACAUUCAUUAUCUCACUCAAUCUUGGCAUUAGCUCCAUAGGAUAAUAAUGCCCCCAGGAUAGGCAUUAUCACCACGCUAUAGGUGAAGAGACAGGCCGGGAGAGACUUGUUCAGGUCUGCAACAAAGAUCUUCCAUCUUAAACACUUUUACUGGAGUUUUUCUUGUUAUGUAAGUGACACCUCUUAGCUAUAGAAAAGGCAGAUCAAUAACAACCCCAACGACAAAAAAUCACUCAACAUCUUACCUCCCAGAGAGAACCGCUGUUAAGGUUUUGAGGGAAUGUCCUUCCAGUCUUUUUUUCCAAACUGAGAGCCAGUGCGCAGUGGGAAGAGCACAGACUCCAGAGGCUGCCCACAGUCUUAUCUCUGCAGCUUACUAGCAUAUGGUAUUAGCAGACUUCUCAACCUCUCCUCCAAGAAAAUGAAGUCAUUUUCUUCAUCUGUAAAAAUGGGGAUAAUAACAUCACCUAACAGUCAGUGUAAGGAUUAAACAAAUAAACAUCUUUGAAAUACUUAGAACAAGUACUUAGAAAGCACUCAAUUAGUCAGCUUUUUUUUUUUUAAUUUUCAUAAGAAUGGUAAUA